RNAcentral lists this long non-coding RNA (235 nucleotides) under Salvia miltiorrhiza (redroot sage). RNAcentral's name for it is "long non-coding RNA (SMIL_LNC010153)". Lineage: Eukaryota; Viridiplantae; Streptophyta; Magnoliopsida; Lamiales; Lamiaceae. The record is from RNAcentral.
UUUGAUUGUUAUUUUUCAUACUCAUAUUUUCUUUUUCUUUUUUUUAAUUACGAUAAUAUUAAUUUUUUAUUAUUUUAAAUUCGAUCAUAUAUUUACCGUCAAUGUUUCGCCGGCAUCACAAGUCUUAGAUAUUAUCUCGACAUAUUAUAAGGUAAUGAAUGAUUAAUGAUAUUGUAUAUUGAAAUAGAGUUUAAAUAAAUUAAUAGGUACUAGAUAUAACAAUAAUACGAGUGUU